UCCUGACACCUAUUGCGAGCCCACGACGAACAAGCAAGGAUCGCGGUUCUCACAAAGUAAGCCAGCCCCAUCAGUCGAGAUCACGAACAAACCCACAGAGAUCGAGCUAGGAAAAACCAAAACGAAACUCGACGGAGACGGAGACGGGAAGGGGAAGAGGGGUCCGGUUUUGCGAGCUGGGCGAUCCCCCCCGCCGUGGAGGUGGGCGCGGCUCGGGGCGCCACGCGCGCAUCUGCCGGGCGGGUGGUGAGGGCUGCGCGCGUCGCCGUCGUGGGAAGAGGAGGAGGAAGAGUAGAAAUGGGGCUGCCUCGCCCGGUGCCCGUGACCUGCUCGACGGAAUGCGGCAGCGGCCAACGCCGUGCGGCGACGUGAGAAAGAGUCCAGAGCUGGACAUCAUGCAAAGUUCUGACCAGGGAAAAUGAUCAAAGAUGUGCCAAGCAAGCAACGAGAUCUAGGCGCGUGUAUGGGUUGGCGCGGCGUGAAGAAGACGAACGGACCUUGGAGGUUGCUGUCGAGCCAUUUGGACUGCCUGGUGCGGAUGUGGCUCGCCCACCACCACGAGUAGGCGUUGCUCGCCGCCCGCUGCAGCAUCCCGCCUCUCCUCCGCCGCGCUUCUCCAGCCGCCGGACUCGAACUGGAAGGUCAGCAAUGCACAUUGCCUGCAUUUGCCAUGGGGACGUAUGUCAUCUUUGGAAGAAGAUGAACGAGACGGCGGCGGCGGAGAGGAAGAAGAA
Long non-coding RNA from Triticum dicoccoides, 734 nucleotides. RefSeq lists it as uncharacterized. Lineage: Eukaryota; Viridiplantae; Streptophyta; Magnoliopsida; Poales; Poaceae. The transcript is spliced from 3 exons. The record is from RefSeq and is a predicted model, not a curated record.